UUGAUAUGGGAGAAGAUGAUAUUGAUGAUUCAUGAUCAUAUUUUUUAUAAAGGAUUUGGUCUUUUUUUAUUUUUUUAUUUUUCAGUUACAAAAUAACUAUUAUAUUUUUAUAAGGUCCAUGUAUUUUAUUUUUGAUAUUGAUACAAGUUGAUGAUUUCUAUGUAAUAGCUAAGCCAGGGCUACAAAGGUGACUUCAACGGCCUUUACAACGUUAGUUGUUAUCUCUAUUAUUUUAAUAUUCAUAUAAUUUUUGGUGAGUUAAUGGUUUAUUUUUUAUUGCGGGAAGAUGAAGCUGGCCGACGGUGCCGUUGCCUAUAUGGAAGACGAUCCGUUCCCGUUUCCUCUCUUCUUAAGUUUUCUUUGGGUUCUUGAUAUGGUUUCUUGAUAGCCGUUUUCUUGUCUUCUUGCUUUCUCGAUGGAUUCCUGAGACAAUUGUUGAUUUAUAGUUUAGUUUCGGUGUUCUCUGGA
This 468-nucleotide long non-coding RNA is filed under the name Phoenix dactylifera (date palm). RNAcentral's name for it is "long non-coding RNA (PDAC_LNC003635)". The record is from RNAcentral. Lineage: Eukaryota; Viridiplantae; Streptophyta; Magnoliopsida; Arecales; Arecaceae.